Molecule: long non-coding RNA, 958 nt
Organism: Lolium rigidum
Lineage: Eukaryota; Viridiplantae; Streptophyta; Magnoliopsida; Poales; Poaceae
Exons: 4
Source: RefSeq, a predicted model, not a curated record
CCGUUCUUUGGAGACCAUGUGACGGAUGGGUUUUGCGACUAAACUCUUCUGCAUUAUUUAUCUGAUGUUGUCUAUAUCACAGCCGUUGUCACUUCUCCCAUGUUUUUAUUUGUUAGUCACUGCCGUUGUUAUUUUAUUUCCCUUGUUUCUGUAGCUUGCAAAGAAGGUCACCCAUGGUGGUCGUUUGCUCUGCUACUUAACGAUGCCCUUGCUGGGUUGUUUUCUUCAGGUGUGAUGGUGUUCUCUUAUCAGGUAAUUCACUUUAUAUUCUCCUACAAAGUCGUUCUGCUGCGUCGGCGUCACAUGGAGAAGCAACCGUUGUGCACGCCCUUCGAGGCCGAGCUCGGCUGAUGCCUAUGACGCCAAGAUUCCGAGAAAGCUUGCUCAUGGUGCUGCUGGUAGGACAUGUUCUGUGCCCAGAUCAACAUCCCAUUACCCAGGUGUGUCGGUAGUGACCAAGUGAUUGACUCUGCUUGUAUCGAUGUUCCAACGCUUUGGAAAUAUCCUUUGUUACAGCAGAGGAAAUUCUCCGGAGAUAUAAACUGAUGGAAAAGGAUGCUCUUGAGUCGGCCAAACUUGUUGCUCUUGUGUACCUACAGAAUGCAGGCAUUAUCUUUAUAGUUGACAUUAAUUUGAGUGAGCUAACAAAGUGUGAAGCUGAAUUGGCAGACUGCAAGUACAAGCCGCUGGCUGGAUAAUCGUGGACGGCCGCAUUUCAGGGACGUGUUGAAAUUCUCCAGGCUGAACUAGCUCAAACAAAGACAAUCAGGUAUGGGCAUCGAGCAUUGACCCUGCAUGUACAUCCUGGUGCUGCCCACAGGCACAGCAACGCGACCUUCUCAACGCCGCUCUGCUACAAAAUUGACCAGUUCCAAGAAGAUUGGUGUGAUUGUGAGCAUUACCGUACAAAUAUACGGUUGGAAGGAUAUGGGAACAUUAUCUGCUUUACUUUUGCAUC